CAGUGCACGUUCUUGUAAAAUGACAUGCGAGGAUACAGAAACCGCAAAGCACACUGUUUGAAUUGCAUUCUUGUACUCGGUUCAAUGUUUUGCUGCUCAGUUAUUUGACAAAUCCAUGGAUCUUCUUUCUAACAUGGUCCACUUUCAAGAUAUUUGGAGGGAGCUUGCAUUCAUGGUUCAUUCAUUUCCGUAGAUCUUCUUUUUCUCUCUGUCACAUGGAUACACAGUGCAUGCCUUCGUCUUCUUCCUUGUACUCCAAAGGGCACAAAAAUGUCACAGUACAAUUUACUUCAAGUACAGACUGUACAGUAUAUACGAACUGUGGUUAUCUUUCUUGUGCCUGCAAAUGGCAGCAAGAGCAAAGGAAAAUUAUAACUCGAAGGCCUUUAGUAACCACGGCAAAGAAUCGCUGAUGAAGUCAAUCAAUGGCCUACCGAUUCUUCACUCCUAUAUUCACCUCGCUUAUUUCUGUUGGUGGGACUCAAGCAACUGAUCAAUCCAAUCAAUGGCUUACUGUUUCCAUGAUAUGUAUACGAUAAUUAUGUUAUUGAAGUCAUGUUUAGAAAUGCAAUAAAAUGCUACGUUUAUUUGGACAGCUCCUUCUGUUCCUCUUGGCAACACUGUAUUACUUUCGCAUAGUAACAUGUUCCUAGGCAAGUUACUUCAAUAAAUACAUAAUUACACAUGAAUGCUGACAAUUAGGGACUAAUACACAGGAUUACUACUAGCGAUCGAGGUGAUGGCAGUUGCGUUCGGAGGGUGGUCAGGAUUGGAGGGAAGCAGUGACAGGGAAAAAGUCCCAGCUACAAUUCCUGUGAUGAUUUUUGCUUUGGUGAAUCAUGAUCCAGCACCUGUUCUUUGUGCAUAUUUGGGUGGUGACCUCAAGCGUCUAAGGGCUUCAGUUUUGCUGGGUAGAAUCGUUCCUUUGCUGGCAUUGCUUGUUUGGGAUGCAAUUGCACUUGGCCCUUCUGAUCAGGCUGGUCACGUUAUCGAUCCAGUUUAAUAAUUGCUGACGAGGUAACUUAGACUCUGCGUAUUCUAUUAACUGUAGAGAUGCCCAUCAAAUUU
Long non-coding RNA from Populus euphratica (Euphrates poplar), 1068 nucleotides. RefSeq lists it as uncharacterized. The transcript is spliced from 3 exons. Lineage: Eukaryota; Viridiplantae; Streptophyta; Magnoliopsida; Malpighiales; Salicaceae. The record is from RefSeq and is a predicted model, not a curated record.